Molecule: long non-coding RNA, 597 nt
Filed under: Mytilus galloprovincialis (Mediterranean mussel)
Lineage: Eukaryota; Metazoa; Mollusca; Bivalvia; Mytilida; Mytilidae
Source: RNAcentral
GUUGUGUCAGAAAAAAAUAUAUCUAUGUAUCAUAACAACUUUCAGGUAUAGAGAUAUGAUUUUUUUCUGAGGCAAGUGCUUGUGAUCCACUGGAACUUGCGGUCAUCCGAUGUUCAGUACUUCGAUCAGUACUUGUAGUGUGAAUGCAAUGGUUUAGAUUAAACUGAUAGAGAUCCUUAGGAUUAAAUAUGAUGUGAAGGCUAACUGGUCUUAUUUAGAUAGUUUAAAAAAAUGCUAGUGCAUGAACAGGGUCUAACACACAGGAAAAAGCCAAAGUUUUUAUUUUGUCUUUUAAUUUAACAAGGUGUUUUAACAAGUAAAAUUAAAAUUAUAAUUUAUAUGUUUAACAAUUGGUGUUAGACUUCACUUUUUUUGAAUGAAUGAUUAGAAUGUAGAAAGAUUAAAGAUCAUAGUGCUAGAAUACAGUGCUGUAAGUAAUAUUUGGCAACACAUGGGCAUUAGUCUGGCAUUCUAUGCAAUAGAAAAAGAGAUGUAAUACAAAUGUGAAACAAACUUUGUUUUUUAUUAAAUUCACAUGCUUCACAUACUUCUUAAUUAUUCAAAUAAAAGUCGAUGCAUUUCCCAUGUGAAAGACAU